This 527-nucleotide unclassified non-coding RNA is filed under the name Hevea brasiliensis (rubber tree). The record is from RNAcentral. Lineage: Eukaryota; Viridiplantae; Streptophyta; Magnoliopsida; Malpighiales; Euphorbiaceae.
GAACCACAAAUAUUGAAAGCUAAUUGGCAAUUAUACUACAAGUAAAUUAUAGUAGUACUAUGCUAUACUAUUUCACCUUCUGUUUUUGAACCUGGGAGAUAUGAGGGCCUGCAAUGGAUUCUUCAUCACCAUUGUAAACUCCUGCUUCUCAGACAGGUCAAUGUCAUCUCCAUCCACAGCCUUCCACUCAAAAUUCCAAACCAAAUUAGCCACAAAAUACUCCAAAUGAAGCAAUGCUAAGGCAUAACCAGGGCACAUCCUUCUUCCCACUCCAAAUGGCAUCAUCUUAAUCUCCCUACUUCCUGUUAUAUCAAACAUUUCUUCACUGUCCAUGAACCUCUCAGGUCUGAAUGCCAUGGGAUCCUCCCACACCUUUGGAUCCCAACCUAUAUCUGCUACCAUGAAAUUUAUAGUCCCAUUUUUGGGCACUAAAUAGUUGCCCAACACUGCGUCUUCAGUCACUGCAUGUGGCAACACAAAAUGCCCUGGUGGGUGCCUCCUUAGCCCUUCUAAAACUACAGCUUUCA